Molecule: ribosomal RNA, 1420 nt
Filed under: Flavobacterium sp. Sulf-511
Lineage: Bacteria; Pseudomonadati; Bacteroidota; Flavobacteriia; Flavobacteriales; Flavobacteriaceae
Description: bacterial SSU rRNA
Rfam family: Bacterial small subunit ribosomal RNA
Source: RNAcentral
GCGGCAGGCUUAACACAUGCAAGUCGAGGGGUAUAUGUCUUCGGAUAUAGAGACCGGCGCACGGGUGCGUAACGCGUAUGCAAUCUACCUUUCACAGAGGGAUAGCCCAGAGAAAUUUGGAUUAAUACCUCAUAGUAUAUAGCCCUGGCAUCAGGAUUAUAUUAAAGUCACAACGGUGAAAGAUGAGCAUGCGUCCCAUUAGCUAGAUGGUAAGGUAACGGCUUACCAUGGCUACGAUGGGUAGGGGUCCUGAGAGGGAGAUCCCCCACACUGGUACUGAGACACGGACCAGACUCCUACGGGAGGCAGCAGUGAGGAAUAUUGGACAAUGGGCGCAAGCCUGAUCCAGCCAUGCCGCGUGCAGGAUGACGGUCCUAUGGAUUGUAAACUGCUUUUAUACGAGAAGAAACACUCCUUCGUGAAGGAAUUUGACGGUAUCGUAAGAAUAAGGAUCGGCUAACUCCGUGCCAGCAGCCGCGGUAAUACGGAGGAUCCAAGCGUUAUCCGGAAUCAUUGGGUUUAAAGGGGUCCGUAGGCGGUUUAGUAAGUCAGUGGUGAAAGCCCAUCGCUCAACGGUGGAACGGCCAUUGAUACUGCUGAACUUGAAUUAUUAGGAAGUAACUAGAAUAUGUAGUGUAGCGGUGAAAUGCUUAGAGAUUACAUGGAAUACCAAAUGGAUUGACGCUGAUGGACGAAAGCGUGGGUAGCGAACAGGAUUAGAUACCCUGGUAGUCCACGCCGUAAACGAUGGAUACUAGCUGUUGGAAGCAAUUUCAGUGGCUAAGCGAAAGUGAUAAGUAUCCCACCCGGGGAGUACGUUCGCAAGAAUGAAACUCAAAGGAAUUGACGGGGGCCCGCACAAGCGGUGGAGCAUGUGGUUUAAUUCGAUGAUACGCGAGGAACCUUACCAAGGCUUAAAUGUAGAUUGACCGUUCUGGAAACAGAACUUUCGCAAGACAAUUUACAAGGUGCUGCAUGGUUGUCGUCAGCUCGUGCCGUGAGGUGUCAGGUUAAGUCCUAUAACGAGCGCAACCCCUGUUGUUAGUUGCCAGCGAGUCAAGUCGGGAACUCUAACAAGACUGCCAGUGCAAACUGUGAGGAAGGUGGGGAUGACGUCAAAUCAUCACGGCCCUUACGCCUUGGGCUACACACGUGCUACAAUGGCCGGUACAGAGAGCAGCCACUGGGCGACCAGGAGCGAAUCUACAAAACCGGUCACAGUUCGGAUCGGAGUCUGCAACUCGACCCCGUGAAGCUGGAAUCGCUAGUAAUCGGAUAUCAGCCAUGAUCCGGUGAAUACGUUCCCGGGCCUUGUACACACCGCCCGUCAAGCCAUGGAAGCUGGGGGUGCCUGAAGUCGGUGACCGCAAGGAGCUGCCUAGGGUAAAACUGGUAACUAGGGCUAAGUCGUAACAAGGUA